Falco peregrinus (peregrine falcon) is the source of this 2603-nucleotide long non-coding RNA. RefSeq lists it as uncharacterized. The transcript is spliced from 3 exons. NCBI's taxonomy places the organism in Eukaryota, Metazoa, Chordata, Aves, Falconiformes, Falconidae. The record is from RefSeq and is a predicted model, not a curated record.
UAUCUGCGGCGCAGGGACGGCGCAUCGCGCCUCCGUGGCCCUGCCGGCGCGGGGGGGAGCGGGACGGCGGCGUGCAUCGGGGCGAUUACGGUAUCAGCGCGGCCCAGGCGGAGGCCGGAGGAUGCACGCUGCCCGCACGCCUCUCCGGGAUGAGAACUCUGCCAGAGACCACGGGGAGCGCUGCGCUGGCUCCCCGGGACUCCCCCACCUGAGGUCGCCUCCCUUUGCGCCAAGGUGAUGUCCCCGCGCCUGCCUCCCACCUCACAGACCGCACCUACAUCCCGCACCGAGCAGGACGGCUCCCGGCCCAGCGCCGUCACCGGACGCUCCCACUCCCGGUUUGGCCAAGGCCCAGCUUAACCCGGCCUGCCUCGCCUCGCCAGUGGCAGAAGAGCCCGAACGCAGCACGCUGCCAUGAGCGGUGGCAUCCUUCACCAGAGGAUGAGCCAUAAGCCAGAGCAGGUCCCUAGGCUUAACAGUUCAGGUUUUGCGAAUUCAGAGGGUUUGUUUUGAUGGGAUUCACCAAAGAGGGCUGGGUUAUCAUGGGGAACAGGGAGGGGAGGCAGCGAAGCAGCAGCCCAGCCUGCCCACCACAUGCCCAGCCAGCCAGCAGAAUGGCAGCACCAGGUUGCCAAGUGAACUCUGCACGCUUGGGUUUUAAAGUUUUAGAAAGGUUUCUCCUUAGGAAUCGACACUUAUUUGUUAAGGAAACAUGUUUCCAUUGCGCGUCUGUGGAGGAGCACCGUGAAGGCUGGGAUGAGGACAAUGAUGGCACGCUGGCAUGAGACAGGCAUUGUUCAGUGCAGAACUCCUUCCAAAAUCAUUUGUCCAGGAGAGCAGGUUUUUUCCACAAGAAAAGAAAGAAAGGGAAUUUGACACAUAAUACAAAGUGAAAACCAGAACCUAGAUGGGGGAAGGGCGUGUGUGUGUGAAAAUCGUGUCACCGCAAUGAAUGUCAGAUAAAAAGGGGUCUGUCACAAAUCCUCCACUAAUCCAAUAAUGCGAAAACCUCUUGGUAUCACUGAGACAUAGCACAAGCCAGAGGAUCACCUAUGACAGUACAUUGACAUGAAAGUGAUGGUAACUGAGAAGUCUACCCUGAAACAUACCCCUAAAAGACUGUGCUUACAGUGAACCUUUUUCACGAAACCUAGCUACAGCCACCAGUGAAGCCUAGGACUUAAACGGAGCACUGCAUUUUUAUUCAGUACCUUUGUUAAUGCAGCAGUAUCCUGCUUUACAGCUACAAGUACAUGACAGCCAUACAGCAAUUUAUUUUACUCACAGCCCAACCAUCACCGUCUGUACACAAAACACAUUUACAAUAAAAUCACUAUGGAUUUCAUUAAGAGAAAGCCUACUCGAAUUUCAUUUCUUUGGAUCUAAUCUAUAAUUAGUGUGGACAGACAGGUGCAAACCCUUCUCCUCUACAGAUGGCUACUGGAAAUGGUGCAAAAUAGCUCCUUCUGUUUAAACAACACACAGAUAACCUGCUCUGCUCUUAUCACUUACAAUUACCUCCUUUAUACUGAACUAAUGUUUACUUUAAUAAAACGUCCACUGUUCUCUAAACGUUAUUUGGAAACUUUCCUAUCGAUGGCAGGAAAAUUAAAAAAAAAAAAAAAGGAGAUGGAAGUCAGUAUCUUUUAGAUGAAAAAUUCUUUUUUUGGUGGGGGAAGCACCUUUUAAAUGGCAGGAUAUUCUGACUUUGAUUUUACAUCUGCUGAUCAUUUUUUUGUAUCCACAAAACCACACAGUAUACUACUUCCUGAUGUAUUUAAGCUACCAUAUAUUAAACUAAUCAAGUUUAUAGUAAACAAGAACAGGAUAACUGCAAUUUUAAAGCGGUUCUUUUUAACAGGAACAUUAUGUGGAAAACCAAGACCAUUUACAUUAAAAGUUCAGGUUUUAGACUAACUCUUAGAUAUUUCACGUGAAAAAAAGGUGAAGAAAAUGUAAUCUGGAAGCCAACGGUUUAAGAAUUUACACUCUUACUACUUAAGCUAAAUUCAGUGUCAGUUUAAACUCAUUAUAGGUUGCUAUUAAAGGCUGUAUGAAAAAGAGCAGGCUGCUACUAAAUACAUGGAUCAAAGUUUUUUUAAUGUAUUCAGAUCAAAAGUGAUUUUCCUUUUACAUUUCUUUAGCCAAGCCAUGAGAAAUAACCCCUUCACAACACCAAAUUCAUGUUUUAUUUCAGCUGAUAAGGCUUCAUCUUGAUCUCUGCAUGACAACUGAAGUUUAUACAAAACAAAGAACAAGAUUCCCACCCCCAAAAAAAAAAAAACAAACUGAAGCUCCUGCAGUAGCAACAUACUAAUAUCCUUAUUCGAUUAGCUAAAGAUUUAACAGUAAUGGACUGUGGCAAGUGGAUUUGAAAGAUGAAAAUGACAAUUGCAUGCCCUUUCUCCCAUCACCCCCAACGCGAAUACUGCAGAUGCCUAUUUCACCUAAAGUGUCUGGCAACAGGAGUUUUCAGUCUGCACAGUACCUCAGUGAAGUGAGCUUCGCAUUCAACGCCUGUCAUCUGAAGUUCAUGUCAGGGAAGUAAGAAACAGGAUUUGACAGGGAAGAAUGUCCUGAACUGACUAGCCACUGACCAGCAC